AACGAACGCUGGCGGCAUGCCUAACACAUGCAAGUCGAACGAGACCUUCGGGUCUAGUGGCGCACGGGUGCGUAACGCGUGGGAAUCUACCCUUGGGUUCGGAAUAACAGUUAGAAAUGACUGCUAAUACCGGAUGAUGACGUAAGUCCAAAGAUUUAUCGCCCAAGGAUGAGCCCGCGUAAGACUAGCUUGUUGGUGGGGUAAUGGCCUACCAAGGCGACGAUCUUUAGCGGGUCUGAGAGGAUGAUCAGCCACACGGGGACUGAGACACGGCCCAGACUCCUACGGGAGGCAGCAGUGGGGAAUAUUGGCCAAUGGGCGAAAGCCUGAUCCAGCAAUGCCGCGUGAGUGAUGAAGGCCUUAGGGUUGUAAAGCUCUUUUACCAGGGAUGAUAAUGACAGUACCUGGAGAAUAAGCUCCGGCUAACUCCGUGCCAGCAGCCGCCGUAA
This 449-nucleotide ribosomal RNA is filed under the name uncultured bacterium. RNAcentral describes it as "partial 16S ribosomal RNA". It matches the Rfam family "Bacterial small subunit ribosomal RNA", at positions 29 to 523 of the family's 1533-position model. The record is from RNAcentral.